ACGAACGCUGGCGGCGUGCUUAACACAUGCAAGUCGAACGGUGAAGGGGGAGCUUGCUCUUCUGGAUCAGUGGCGAACGGGUGAGUAACACGUGAGUAACCUGCCCUUGACUCUGGGAUAAGCGUUGGAAACGACGUCUAAUACCGGAUAUGACGACCGGCCGCAUGGUCUGGUUGUGGAAAGAUUUUUUGGUCAAGGAUGGACUCGCGGCCUAUCAGCUUGUUGGUGAGGUAAUGGCUCACCAAGGCGACGACGGGUAGCCG
This 263-nucleotide ribosomal RNA is filed under the name Microbacteriaceae bacterium ISO772_OTU2727. RNAcentral's name for it is "partial 16S ribosomal RNA". It matches the Rfam family "Bacterial small subunit ribosomal RNA", at positions 29 to 289 of the family's 1533-position model. The record is from RNAcentral. Lineage: Bacteria; Bacillati; Actinomycetota; Actinomycetes; Micrococcales; Microbacteriaceae.